RNAcentral lists this ribosomal RNA (1489 nucleotides) under Lactiplantibacillus plantarum. RNAcentral's name for it is "bacterial SSU rRNA". It matches the Rfam family "Bacterial small subunit ribosomal RNA". The record is from RNAcentral. Lineage: Bacteria; Bacillati; Bacillota; Bacilli; Lactobacillales; Lactobacillaceae.
GACGAACGCUGGCGGCGUGCCUAAUACAUGCAAGUCGAACGAACUCUGGUAUUGAUUGGUGCUUGCAUCAUGAUUUACAUUUGAGUGAGUGGCGAACUGGUGAGUAACACGUGGGAAACCUGCCCAGAAGCGGGGGAUAACACCUGGAAACAGAUGCUAAUACCGCAUAACAACUUGGACCGCAUGGUCCGAGCUUGAAAGAUGGCUUCGGCUAUCACUUUUGGAUGGUCCCGCGGCGUAUUAGCUAGAUGGUGGGGUAACGGCUCACCAUGGCAAUGAUACGUAGCCGACCUGAGAGGGUAAUCGGCCACAUUGGGACUGAGACACGGCCCAAACUCCUACGGGAGGCAGCAGUAGGGAAUCUUCCACAAUGGACGAAAGUCUGAUGGAGCAACGCCGCGUGAGUGAAGAAGGGUUUCGGCUCGUAAAACUCUGUUGUUAAAGAAGAACAUAUCUGAGAGUAACUGUUCAGGUAUUGACGGUAUUUAACCAGAAAGCCACGGCUAACUACGUGCCAGCAGCCGCGGUAAUACGUAGGUGGCAAGCGUUGUCCGGAUUUAUUGGGCGUAAAGCGAGCGCAGGCGGUUUUUUAAGUCUGAUGUGAAAGCCUUCGGCUCAACCGAAGAAGUGCAUCGGAAACUGGGAAACUUGAGUGCAGAAGAGGACAGUGGAACUCCAUGUGUAGCGGUGAAAUGCGUAGAUAUAUGGAAGAACACCAGUGGCGAAGGCGGCUGUCUGGUCUGUAACUGACGCUGAGGCUCGAAAGUAUGGGUAGCAAACAGGAUUAGAUACCCUGGUAGUCCAUACCGUAAACGAUGAAUGCUAAGUGUUGGAGGGUUUCCGCCCUUCAGUGCUGCAGCUAACGCAUUAAGCAUUCCGCCUGGGGAGUACGGCCGCAAGGCUGAAACUCAAAGGAAUUGACGGGGGCCCGCACAAGCGGUGGAGCAUGUGGUUUAAUUCGAAGCUACGCGAAGAACCUUACCAGGUCUUGACAUACUAUGCAAAUCUAAGAGAUUAGACGUUCCCUUCGGGGACAUGGAUACAGGUGGUGCAUGGUUGUCGUCAGCUCGUGUCGUGAGAUGUUGGGUUAAGUCCCGCAACGAGCGCAACCCUUAUUAUCAGUUGCCAGCAUUAAGUUGGGCACUCUGGUGAGACUGCCGGUGACAAACCGGAGGAAGGUGGGGAUGACGUCAAAUCAUCAUGCCCCUUAUGAUCUGGGCUACACACGUGCUACAAUGGAUGGUACAACGAGUUGCGAACUCGCGAGAGUAAGCUAAUCUCUUAAAGCCAUUCUCAGUUCGGAUUGUAGGCUGCAACUCGCCUACAUGAAGUCGGAAUCGCUAGUAAUCGCGGAUCAGCAUGCCGCGGUGAAUACGUUCCCGGGCCUUGUACACACCGCCCGUCACACCAUGAGAGUUUGUAACACCCAAAGUCGGUGGGGUAACCUUUUAGGAACCAGCCGCCUAAGGUGGGACAGAUGAUUAGGGUG